This is a long non-coding RNA of Cygnus olor (mute swan), 523 nucleotides long. RefSeq lists it as uncharacterized. The record is from RefSeq and is a predicted model, not a curated record. The transcript is spliced from 2 exons. NCBI's taxonomy places the organism in Eukaryota, Metazoa, Chordata, Aves, Anseriformes, Anatidae.
ACCUGGGCAGGACCAGCAGCUUCCAUAGCACGCUCCUAAAUUCUUUUUACCACAGAAUGAACUCAUGACUAAUUGUAGACAACUAAAGUUGGAUGAGACAAAUCACAAACAUGCUUACUGUUUCCCCAAGCAGAACACACUAGCAAGAUUGAACACCUAUUUUACAAAACAUGAGAUGUAGUCAAGAAAAUGCUUGUGGGAUCCAAAAGAAAAAAGUUUCAGCCCCCAGGAGAAACAGAGAUGGUUAGCAGCAAUAAUGCUGCAUUGGACAAUGUGAAGUCAUCUCUCAAAAUAAUAUGAUGUGACAGGCAAAGUGUAUUCCGGCUUGAUUUGCACUGGGGACUAGUAUAGAAUAUUUCACUGCAGUGCAGCCAUUCCCAAAUUGAUCUACUUGUAAAUUCCAGAAAUUGGGGGGUGGGAGGAACCACGACACAAAGCCUCUGUUUUCUGAAAGCCUUGGUUCCUGCUGCUUAAUGAAUAGAGUACUGUAAUACAGAAUUGAAAUUAAACAUGUACUGGGAAG